AUUUUAAACUUACCUUCUUCAAAUCUUUGUUCCAAAAGACUCUCAUUCGAAAAGAGCCUCUCUUUGAACUCCCCGAUAUUGGUACUCUUUGGGAAAAGACCCCCGAUCCCCGAGAUCACCACAUCAUCAGGCACUACAUUCAUUUUCGAUUGUGAGAUGCACAACUCUUUCCAAAAAAACAAACAACCAAAA
Diabrotica virgifera virgifera (western corn rootworm) is the source of this 192-nucleotide long non-coding RNA. RefSeq lists it as uncharacterized. NCBI's taxonomy places the organism in Eukaryota, Metazoa, Arthropoda, Insecta, Coleoptera, Chrysomelidae. The transcript has 2 exons. The record is from RefSeq and is a predicted model, not a curated record.